RNAcentral lists this long non-coding RNA (879 nucleotides) under Meleagris gallopavo (turkey). RNAcentral's name for it is "lncRNA (ENSMGAG00000018315.1)". Lineage: Eukaryota; Metazoa; Chordata; Aves; Galliformes; Phasianidae. The record is from RNAcentral.
AAGUGUAUUUGUCAGGCUUUUUUUUUUUUAAUGUAUAAUUGUUUGUGCACAUGUAACACUUUUUAAGGUCAGGUAACAGAUAGCUCUCUCAAGUUAAGGAAUCAGUCUCAAAGCACCUUAGAGGCUUCCAGUGACUGAAUAGAUAAACUUUUUUUUCAACUGUAUGUUAGUCUUAUAUUUCUCUGUGUUAAAUGUAAUAUUUAUGUGAUAUUUGACGUGUCCUGAUAUUCUUAUGAAUUGAUGCAUUCAUAAAAUACUCAAAUAGAUCUUUGAAACAUGGAAUUCAAUUGUUUUGUUUCAUGUUUUUUAAGUGCCAGAGGAGCCCAAAAGAGCUCCCCCAGAGGAAAAAGUUGCUGUUCCAAAAAGAGAAGCAGCUCCACCACCUAAAGCACCAGAAAUACCUAAGAAACCAGUACCAGAAGAAAAAUUGCCUCAGAUUCCUAAAGUAGAAGAGGCUCCACCUGCAAAAGUGCCUGCAGUUCCUAAGAAACCUGUCCCUAAAGAAAAGGUACCUCCUGCUGUUCCUAAAAAAGUUGAGGCUCCUCCAGCUAAAGGUAUGCUUUCCAGUAGAAUAAAUAAAAUGCUGUUUCUUAGCUCCUAUGUGUAUGUUCUGUCUUGUCAUUGAUUUGUGCUUCCUUUAUGAAUUCCACAGUAUUGAUUUAGUGACAGUAAAACAAUGGUUAUUUUUUUGUGUAUUGUACAUUACUUACAAAAAUAUGAAUGUUAAGUGUUGAAUCUCUGUUGUGUUAUUUGUUCAAGACCCUUAAGCAAUUCUUUGGAAAUUUAGUUACUUGCAUUUUGGAAGGUGGAUUUCACACUGGCAUUAGAAAAUCAUCCAUUUAAUACUAUUAUCUUUCAAAGUACCUGAAGUGCAGAAGA